GUGACACUGAGGUCGUCUUUUUAUUCAAACUUUAACGCUGGGAAGGGCUGCACAAGUUUGAUGUUUACAUUCCCGUUGGAGCAAAACCAACCACCACAAAAUUUGAGAGAGAAAAAUGCAAAUGGUGCAAAAUAUCAAGGUAUCAUCUCCUCUCGUUCCUCCUCGUCCCAGUCUCCGAUGGACAACUUAUGCGUGUAAUAAUAAUAAUAAUAAUAAUAAUAAUAAUAAUAAUAAUGCAAUGUGUAGCAUGCCGUAUCAGGAGUGGGCAACCAGACUUUUUUUUCCCUAAGGGAGGGAACAGAUCAUGACAAAAUCCUUUCCCCACCACGUUGCUAGAAAGCAUGUCCAAGGAUCUGCACAACCCUUCAGUCUCCCUUUCUGAGGACUUGUCUUAGGGCCCGUCCAGACAGUACCUUUAUCCCAGGAGCCCCUGCUUCGAAAUGGAGGGCGGCCACACAACGUCCCCUGAAAACACAGUUGCUACAAAGGCCAAAGAACGCGAGAUUUUCAGGUGCGGGAAUAUCCCGGUUUGUCCAGGAAAUGCGGAUAUUCGAAUCUCUGUGUGUCUCUACUCUCCGAAAAUACGGGAUUUUUUUAUGUUGGUUUGUUCCUGAGUUAUACAUGUUGGAUCCUGAUUGGUUGUGUCCUAAAAACAUGGAAAAUGGGUUGUUAUGGGUUUUUUGGGUUGUAUGGCCAUGUUCUAGAACAGGGGUCCUCAAACUACGGCCCGCGGGCUGGAUACGGCCCUCCAAGGUCAUUUACCCGGCCCUUGCUCAGGGUCAACCUACAUCUGAAAUGACUUGAAAGUACACAACAACAACAACAAGCCUAUCUCAUCAGCCCAAAGUAGGCCCACACUUCCCAUUGAAAUACUCAUAAGUUAAAAUUCUUUUUCAUGUUCAUUAUUGUAUUGUUUUUAAGUGUUUUUUUGCACUACAAAUAAGAUCUGUGCAGUGUGCAUAGGAAUUCAUUCAUGUUUUUUUCCAAAUUAUAAUCCGGCCCUCCAACAGUUUGAGGGACUGUGACCUGGCCCUCUGUUUAAAAAGUUUGAGGACCCCAAUUCUAGAAUGUUUCGGAUUGUAUGGCCAUGCUCUAGAAGCAUUCUCUCCUGACGUUUUGCCUGCAUCUAUGGCAGGCAACCUCUGAGGAUGCCCGCCAUAGAUGCAGGCGAAACGUCGGGAGAGAAUGCUUCUAGAACAUGGUCAUACAACCCGAAAAACCAACAACAACCCAGUGAUUCCGGCCAUGAAAGCUUUCGACAAAACAUGGAAAAUGUUUCUUAAACUUCUUGUGGGAGGGAAUUCCUGCAG
This is a non-coding RNA of Anolis sagrei ordinatus, 1310 nucleotides long. The record is from RefSeq and is a predicted model, not a curated record. NCBI's taxonomy places the organism in Eukaryota, Metazoa, Chordata, Lepidosauria, Squamata, Anolidae.